RNAcentral lists this ribosomal RNA (38 nucleotides) under Lichtheimia corymbifera. Its description in RNAcentral is "partial 28S ribosomal RNA". Lineage: Eukaryota; Fungi; Mucoromycota; Mucoromycetes; Mucorales; Lichtheimiaceae. The record is from RNAcentral. RNAcentral also lists the same sequence under 1 other name.
UAGAUCUGAAAUCAACUGAGAUCACCCGCUGAACUUAA